Molecule: ribosomal RNA, 922 nt
Filed under: marine bacterium HB-17
Lineage: Bacteria
Description: bacterial SSU rRNA
Rfam family: Bacterial small subunit ribosomal RNA
Source: RNAcentral
CAUGGGGGGUUGCACCUGAUGCACACCCGCGUGCGGGAUGACGGCCUUCGGGUUGUAAACCGUUUCAGUAGGGAAGAACGAAAGUGACGGUACCUGAGCUGAAGUACCGGCUAACUACGUGCCAGCAGCCGCGGUAAUACGUAAGGUACAAGCGUUGUCCGGAAUUAUUGGGCGUAAAGAGCUCUUAGGUUGGUUGGUCACGUCUGCUGUGGAAACGCAACGCUUAACGUUGCGCGGGCAGUGGGUACGGGCUGACUAGAGUGCAGUAGGGGAGUCUGGAAUUCCUGGUGUAGCGGUGAAAUGCGCAGAUAUCAGGAGGAACACCGGUGGCGAAGGCGGGACUCUGGGCUGUAACUGACACUGAGGAGCGAAAGCAUGGGGAGCGAACAGGAUUAGAUACCCUGGUAGUCCAUGCCGUAAACGUUGGGCACUAGGUGUGGGGGGCAUUCCACGUUCUCCGCGCCGUAGCUAACGCAUUAAGUGCCCCGCCUGGGGAGUACGGUCGCAAGGCUAAAACUCAAAGGAAUUGACGGGGGCCCGCACAAGCGGCGGAGCAUGCGGAUUAAUUCGAUGCAACGCGAAGAACCUUACCAAGGCUUGACAUACACCGGACCGUUCUGGAAACAGUUCUUCUCUUUGGAGCUGGUGUACAGGUGGUGCAUGGUUGUCGUCAGCUCGUGUCGUGAGAUGUUGGGUUAAGUCCCGCAACGAGCGCAACCCUCGUUCUAUGUUGCCAGCACGUGAUGGUGGGAACUCAUAGGAGACUGCCGGGGUCAACUCGGAGGAAGGUGGGGAUGACGUCAAAUCAUCAUGCCCUUUAUGUCUUGGGCUUCACGCAUGCUACAAUGGCUGGUACAGAGAGAGGCGAACCCGUGAGGGUGAGCGAAUCCCUUAAAGCCGGUCUCAGUUCGGAUCGUAGUCU